Molecule: ribosomal RNA, 466 nt
Filed under: uncultured bacterium
Lineage: Bacteria
Description: partial 16S ribosomal RNA
Rfam family: Bacterial small subunit ribosomal RNA
Source: RNAcentral
GAUGAACGCUGGCGGCGUGCUUAACACAUGCAAGUCGAACGAUGAAGCCCAGCUUGCUGGGUGGAUUAGUGGCGAACGGGUGAGUAACACGUGAGUAACCUGCCCUUAACUCUGGGAUAAGCCUGGGAAACGGGGUCUAAUACCGGAUAGGAGCGUCCACCGCAUGGUGGGUGUUGGAAAGAUUUAUCGGUGUUGGAUGGACUCGCGGCCUAUCAGCUUGUUGGUGAGGUAAUGGCUCACCAAGGCGACGACGGGUAGCCGGCCUGAGAGGGUGACCGGCCACACUGGGACUGAGACACGGCCCAGACUCCUACGGGAGGCAGCAGUGGGGAAUAUUGCACAAUGGGCGCAAGCCUGAUGCAGCGACGCCGCGUGAGGGAUGACGGCCUUCGGGUUGUAAACCUCUUUCAGUAGGGAAGAAGCGAAAGUGACGGUACCUGCAGAAGAAGCACCGGCUAACUACGUG